RNAcentral lists this ribosomal RNA (253 nucleotides) under uncultured bacterium. Its description in RNAcentral is "partial 16S ribosomal RNA". It matches the Rfam family "Bacterial small subunit ribosomal RNA", at positions 524 to 776 of the family's 1533-position model. The record is from RNAcentral.
UACGUAGGGGGCAAGCGUUGUCCGGAUUUAUUGGGCGUAAAGAGCGUGUAGGCGGUCAGGUAGGUCGGUUGUGAAAACUGGAGGCUCAACCUUCAGAGGUCGACCGAAACCCCCUGGCUAGAGUCCGGGAGGGGAGAGUGGAAUUCCUGGUGUAGCGGUGAAAUGCGCAGAUAUCAGGAAGAACACCCGUGGCGAAAGCGGCUCUCUGGAACGGUACUGACGCUGAGACGCGAAAGCGUGGGGAGCAAACAGG